GGUUAAGCGACUAAGCGUACACGGUGGAUGCCCUGGCAGUCAGAGGCGAUGAAGGACGUGCUAAUCUGCGAUAAGCGUCGGUAAGGUGAUAUGAACCGUUAUAACCGGCGAUUUCCGAAUGGGGAAACCCAGUGUGUUUCGACACACUAUCAUUAACUGAAUCCAUAGGUUAAUGAGGCGAACCGGGGGAACUGAAACAUCUAAGUACCCCGAGGAAAAGAAAUCAACCGAGAUUCCCCCAGUAGCGGCGAGCGAACGGGGAGGAGCCCAGAGCCUGAAUCAGUGUGUGUGUUAGUGGAAGCGUCUGGAAAGGCGCGCGAUACAGGGUGACAGCCCCGUACACAAAAAUACACAUACUGUGAGCUCGAUGAGUAGGGCGGGACACGUGGUAUCCUGUCUGAAUAUGGGGGGACCAUCCUCCAAGGCUAAAUACUCCUGACUGACCGAUAGUGAACCAGUACCGUGAGGGAAAGGCGAAAAGAACCCCGGCGAGGGGAGUGAAAAAGAACCUGAAACCGUGUACGUACAAGCAGUGGGAGCACGCUUAGGCGUGUGACUGCGUACCUUUUGUAUAAUGGGUCAGCGACUUAUAUUCUGUAGCAAGGUUAACCGAAUAGGGGAGCCGAAGGGAAACCGAGUCUUAACUGGGCGUUAAGUUGCAGGGUAUAGACCCGAAACCCGGUGAUCUAGCCAUGGGCAGGUUGAAGGUUGGGUAACACUAACUGGAGGACCGAACCGACUAAUGUUGAAAAAUUAGCGGAUGACUUGUGGCUGGGGGUGAAAGGCCAAUCAAACCGGGAGAUAGCUGGUUCUCCCCGAAAGCUAUUUAGGUAGCGCCUCGUGAAUUCAUCUCCGGGGGUAGAGCACUGUUUCGGCAAGGGGGUCAUCCCGACUUACCAACCCGAUGCAAACUGCGAAUACCGGAGAAUGUUAUCACGGGAGACACACGGCGGGUGCUAACGUCCGUCGUGAAGAGGGAAACAACCCAGACCGCCAGCUAAGGUCCCAAAGUCAUGGUUAAGUGGGAAACGAUGUGGGAAGGCCCAGACAGCCAGGAUGUUGGCUUAGAAGCAGCCAUCAUUUAAAGAAAGCGUAAUAGCUCACUGGUCGAGUCGGCCUGCGCGGAAGAUGUAACGGGGCUAAACCAUGCACCGAAGCUGCGGCAGCGACGCUGAUGCGUUGUUGGGUAGGGGAGCGUUCUGUAAGCCUGCGAAGGUGUGCUGUGAGGCAUGCUGGAGGUAUCAGAAGUGCGAAUGCUGACAUAAGUAACGAUAAAGCGGGUGAAAAGCCCGCUCGCCGGAAGACCAAGGGUUCCUGUCCAACGUUAAUCGGGGCAGGGUGAGUCGACCCCUAAGGCGAGGCCGAAAGGCGUAGUCGAUGGGAAACAGGUUAAUAUUCCUGUACUUGGUGUUACUGCGAAGGGGGGACGGAGAAGGCUAUGUUGGCCGGGCGACGGUUGUCCCGGUUUAAGCGUGUAGGCUGGUUUUCCAGGCAAAUCCGGAAAAUCAAGGCUGAGGCGUGAUGACGAGGCACUACGGUGCUGAAGCAACAAAUGCCCUGCUUCCAGGAAAAGCCUCUAAGCAUCAGGUAACAUCAAAUCGUACCCCAAACCGACACAGGUGGUCAGGUAGAGAAUACCAAGGCGCUUGAGAGAACUCGGGUGAAGGAACUAGGCAAAAUGGUGCCGUAACUUCGGGAGAAGGCACGCUGAUAUGUAGGUGAAGUCCCUCGCGGAUGGAGCUGAAAUCAGUCGAAGAUACCAGCUGGCUGCAACUGUUUAUUAAAAACACAGCACUGUGCAAACACGAAAGUGGACGUAUACGGUGUGACGCCUGCCCGGUGCCGGAAGGUUAAUUGAUGGGGUUAGCGCAAGCGAAGCUCUUGAUCGAAGCCCCGGUAAACGGCGGCCGUAACUAUAACGGUCCUAAGGUAGCGAAAUUCCUUGUCGGGUAAGUUCCGACCUGCACGAAUGGCGUAAUGAUGGCCAGGCUGUCUCCACCCGAGACUCAGUGAAAUUGAACUCGCUGUGAAGAUGCAGUGUACCCGCGGCAAGACGGAAAGACCCCGUGAACCUUUACUAUAGCUUGACACUGAACAUUGAGCCUUGAUGUGUAGGAUAGGUGGGAGGCUUGGAAGUGUGGACGCCAGUCUGCAUGGAGCCGACCUUGAAAUACCACCCUUUAAUGUUUGAUGUUCUAACGUGGACCCGUGAUCCGGGUUGCGGACAGUGUCUGGUGGGUAGUUUGACUGGGGCGGUCUCCUCCUAAAGAGUAACGGAGGAGCACGAAGGUUGGCUAAUCCUGGUCGGACAUCAGGAGGUUAGUGCAAUGGCAUAAGCCAGCUUGACUGCGAGCGUGACGGCGCGAGCAGGUGCGAAAGCAGGUCAUAGUGAUCCGGUGGUUCUGAAUGGAAGGGCCAUCGCUCAACGGAUAAAAGGUACUCCGGGGAUAACAGGCUGAUACCGCCCAAGAGUUCAUAUCGACGGCGGUGUUUGGCACCUCGAUGUCGGCUCAUCACAUCCUGGGGCUGAAGUAGGUCCCAAGGGUAUGGCUGUUCGCCAUUUAAAGUGGUACGCGAGCUGGGUUUAGAACGUCGUGAGACAGUUCGGUCCCUAUCUGCCGUGGGCGCUGGAGAACUGAGGGGGGCUGCUCCUAGUACGAGAGGACCGGAGUGGACGCAUCACUGGUGUUCGGGUUGUCAUGCCAAUGGCACUGCCCGGUAGCUAAAUGCGGAAGAGAUAAGUGCUGAAAGCAUCUAAGCACGAAACUUGCCCCGAGAUGAGUUCUCCCUGACUCCUUGAGAGUCCUGAAGGAACGUUGAAGACGACGACGUUGAUAGGCCGGGUGUGUAAGCGCAGCGAUGCGUUGAGCUAACCGGUACUAAUGAACCGUGAGGCUUAACCUU
This 2904-nucleotide ribosomal RNA is filed under the name Escherichia coli. RNAcentral describes it as "23S ribosomal RNA". It matches the Rfam family "Bacterial large subunit ribosomal RNA". Lineage: Bacteria; Pseudomonadati; Pseudomonadota; Gammaproteobacteria; Enterobacterales; Enterobacteriaceae. The record is from RNAcentral.